Molecule: long non-coding RNA, 446 nt
Filed under: Panax ginseng (ginseng)
Lineage: Eukaryota; Viridiplantae; Streptophyta; Magnoliopsida; Apiales; Araliaceae
Description: long non-coding RNA (PGIN_LNC005500)
Source: RNAcentral
UCUCAUUUACAAGAGAUUCUGUGGGGAUAGAGAUUUGUCUGUUGAGGAUGUGUAUAACAUAUUCCAUCAUCGGUCCUCCUCAAUGAGGAUGUUCUUCCCUGGUUUGUAUUGACAGGUCUUUCCGCUGCUCUGUUGGAGUUACUGCCAAUAGUCGGUGUUGUCAGGGUUGCCUGACCUUCAUUGACAUGAGUAUCAACGGAUGAGAUCCCUGUUGGGGAUAAUGUCAAGGCUGCUUAACCUUCAUUGACGUGUGCAUCAAUGGUUGUAUGAAAAUCCGCUAGGGAAAAGGUUUUAGGGCUACGACCCUGAAUUGACGGUAUUGGACCUUCGUGAGGUAUUUCUGAAUGUAGUUUGUAAAAUCUGAGAUCAUCGCUAUAGUGUACCUUGUGUUUGGGUGUAGACCAAUGAACGAUAUGUAAAGCCACAGUUUGGCCAGUGAAAACCAG